GACGAACGCUGGCGGCGUGCUUAACACAUGCAAGUCGAACGGAAAGGCCCUGCUUUUGUGGGGUGCUCGAGUGGCGAACGGGUGAGUAACACGUGAGUAACCUGCCCUUGACUUUGGGAUAACUUCAGGAAACUGGGGCUAAUACCGGAUAGGAGCUCCUGCUGCAUGGUGGGGGUUGGAAAGAUUCGGCGGUUGGGGAUGGACUCGCGGCUUAUCAGCUUGUUGGUGGGGUAGUGGCUUACCAAGGCUUUGACGGGUAGCCGGCAUGAGAGGGUGACCGGACACAUUGGGACUGAGGUACGGCCCAGACUCCUACGGGAGGCAGUAGUGGGGAAUAUUGCACAAUGGGCGGAAGCCUGAUGCAGCAACGCCGCGUGCGGGAUGACGGCCUUCGGGUUGUAAACCGCUUUCGCCUGUGACGAAGCGUGAGUGACGGUAAUGGGUAAAGAAGCAACGGCUAACUACGUG
RNAcentral lists this ribosomal RNA (468 nucleotides) under uncultured bacterium. Its description in RNAcentral is "partial 16S ribosomal RNA". It matches the Rfam family "Bacterial small subunit ribosomal RNA", at positions 28 to 507 of the family's 1533-position model. The record is from RNAcentral.